This is a long non-coding RNA of Mesocricetus auratus (golden hamster), 741 nucleotides long. RefSeq lists it as uncharacterized. The transcript has 5 exons. Lineage: Eukaryota; Metazoa; Chordata; Mammalia; Rodentia; Cricetidae. The record is from RefSeq and is a predicted model, not a curated record.
GACGGCCAUUCUCACUCCGCUCAGACCAUCGCUCAGAGGGGCCUGCGCUAGGACGGACUCUACAUGCUAAGUAACUCCUUUUCUUCAUUCAUGUUGACUUGAUGGCUGGAGCCAGGUGAAAAGACAAUUGACCCAAACAGCCGCACUGAACGUGAAGCUUCGCUAACGAGGUAUGAGCUAUAGUCCCAGAAGCUGUGCUAGAAGGUCAGCAUAGCUGUAGACAGAGUGCAGGAAAUGGAGAGCGAUAAGCCUGAAACAAAGCCGUCGGAGCCCCAAUGACUCAUGGAGAUGGACCACCUUUUCUUGUCCAGCCCUGAUGAUGGAGGUCCUUAAAGAGGAAAUGAAUAAAUCCCUUAAAGAAGUCAAGGAAGAGACAAACAAAAAUUGGAAGAAAUGAGUAAAUCUCAUAAAGAAAGCCAAGAAAAAGAAAAGAAAGCAACAGGUGAAAGAAACGAGUAAAAACUGCUUCGAGACCUGAAAAUGGAAAGAGAAUCAAUAAAGAAAACUGAGGUUAUCCUGGAGCUGGAAAAUAAAGGCUGUUUCUCAACAAAAAUGACAAGCCAGGCCAAAUUCCUCAAGUGAAAGCGUGUUGCUUUCCAGUCAGCAGAAGCUGGAGCUGAAGCCCCAUUGAAGUUGCUGAAGUUUCCCAUACAGUGUCAAGGAGGUGCCAUGAAAUCAAACCAUCUCCCAGCACAACCAACCACUCAAUUUUUAAUUCAUUGAUUGCUUCCUUCUUUAAAG